Molecule: ribosomal RNA, 486 nt
Filed under: uncultured bacterium
Lineage: Bacteria
Description: partial 16S ribosomal RNA
Rfam family: Bacterial small subunit ribosomal RNA
Source: RNAcentral
AUUGAACGCUGGCGGCAUGCCUUACACAUGCAAGUCGAACGGCAGCACGGGUGCUUGCACCUGGUGGCGAGUGGCGAACGGGUGAGUAAUACAUCGGAACAUGUCCUGUAGUGGGGGAUAGCCCGGCGAAAGCCGGAUUAAUACCGCAUACGAUCUACGGAUGAAAGCGGGGGACCUUCGGGCCUCGCGCGAUAGGGUUGGCCGAUGGCUGAUUAGCUAGUUGGUGGGGGAAAGGCCUACCAAGGCGACGAUCAGUAGCUGGUCUGAGAGGACGACCAGCCACACUGGGACUGAGACACGGCCCAGACUCCUACGGGAGGCAGCAGUGGGGAAUUUUGGACAAUAGGCGAAAGACUGAUCCAGCAAUGCCGAGUGUGUGAAGGAGGCCUUCGGGUUGUAAAGCACUUUUGUCCGGAAAGAAAUCCUUGGCCCUAAUACGGUCGGGGGAUGACGGUACCGGAAGAAUAAGCACCGGCUAACUACGUG